This is a non-coding RNA of Vicugna pacos (alpaca), 555 nucleotides long. The record is from the annotation of a RefSeq genome assembly. Lineage: Eukaryota; Metazoa; Chordata; Mammalia; Artiodactyla; Camelidae.
UGGCGGCCCUCAGGGAGGGAUAAGAGAGGCCAGGGCAGCCCAGCCUCAGCUCAUGGCCUAAGCAGGACUGUGAGCACCAUGGCUCGGAUCCCCGCCCUCCUCGUGCUCCUCUCCCUCUGUGCAGGGUCCCUCACCCAGCCUGUGCUGACUCAGCCGCCCUCCCUCUCUGGGUCUCUGGGAGCAUCAGCCAGACUCACCUGCACCCUGAGCAGUGGGAACAGUGUUGGCAGCUAUGCUAUAAGCUGGUACCAGCAGAAGGCAGGGAGCCCUCCCCGGUACCUCCUGGACUACUACUCAGACUCCAGCAAGCACCAGGGCUCCGGAGUCCCGAGCCGCUUCUCUGGGUCCAAAGAUGCCUCGGCCAAUGCAGGGCUUCUGCUCAUCUCUGGGCUGCAGCCCGAGGACGAGGCUGACUAUUACUGUGCUGCAGGGGACAGCAGCAGUAAUCCUCACACAGUGCCCCAGACCCACAGGGAAGUGAGACUAAAACCUCCCCUGUGCUCCCCGCUGGGCCAUUCCUGCGCUGUGCCUGGGACCAGGUCGCACUCAGGGUGA